GAUGAACGCUGGCGGCGUGCCUAAUACAUGCAAGUCGAGCGAACAGACGAGGAGCUUGCUCCUCUGACGUUAGCGGCGGACGGGUGAGUAACACGUGGAUAACCUACCUAUAAGACUGGGAUAACUUCGGGAAACCGGAGCUAAUACCGGAUAAUAUAUUGAACCGCAUGGUUCAAUAGUGAAAGACGGUUUUGCUGUCACUUAUAGAUGGAUCCGCGCCGCAUUAGCUAGUUGGUAAGGUAACGGCUUACCAAGGCAACGAUGCGUAGCCGACCUGAGAGGGUGAUCGGCCACACUGGAACUGAGACACGGUCCAGACACCUACGGGAGGCAGCAGUAGGGAAUCUUGCGCAAUGGGCGAAAGCUUGACGGAGCAACGCCGCGUGAGUGAUGAAGGUCUUCGGAUCGUAAAACUCUGUUAUUAGGGAAGAACAAAUGUGUAAGUAACUAUGCACGUCUUGACGGUACCUAAUCAGAAAGCCACGGCUAACUACGUG
This 497-nucleotide ribosomal RNA is filed under the name uncultured bacterium. Its description in RNAcentral is "partial 16S ribosomal RNA". It matches the Rfam family "Bacterial small subunit ribosomal RNA", at positions 28 to 507 of the family's 1533-position model. The record is from RNAcentral.